UGUUUCAGUCAAUCAAAUGUCUUUUUAAUUAACAUAAUUUUCUUUUUACAGGAAUUGAAGCUUGAAUAAUACUGGAGAAGGUAGUGGUGGUGGUGGUGGUGGUGGUGGUGGUGGCGAAUAAAGUGGACAUCUGUUAGACUUUCCUUUCUAAUGUUUUAAUCAAAUUUAACGAGCAACUACAGUAUCACGUGGAAUCACGUGUGACCGGUAGCAACGAGAAUAAGAAAGUUUUGUCCUGACAACUUGUUCGGGUCAUUCUGAUGAUGGUAAGUAUCUUAAUACAUUAUAAUGGAACAAUUAGAAGAAUCUCAGAAUAGAAUUCAACCCUUGUAUGGGCAACCCCACUUAUCCACUUCUAUACUUCUGUUAACAAUUUUUUAUAUUAUUGUAAAAAUACUGCAAAAUCACUGUGGAUCCCUAUUCUCCAAGGACAUUCUAACGUUGAUGUAUCUUUUUAAAGUAAAAAUUUGUGCAAAAGAUUUAGAUGUUAAAGCUUCAGCGUAUAACUGGUUGCCCGUUCAAGGGUUGAACACUUGAAUUGCCUCUUUACAUUUUGUUAUUGUGACUGUCCCAUGAAUUCUGAAGUUAAUCCUUUAUGAUAGGAAGCAGUGAAAUGAUCUGAUAAAUGAAGCGCCCGAAGGAAAUCAUCAGCACAAAAUCUGCAACCGGCGUUUAGGAUGCCACGCACUCGAUGUUCAACGCGUUCGAAUAGAAAUAUUCCGUACAACAAGUGUUACUUUGAUCGGUUUAAUCUACCAUACAAUCGUGUAUAUAUUAUGUAUAUGUAACGUGUCCUUUUUGUGUUCCUUUUUGCAAGCGCAAAGCGGACAGGAGGAUCGUGAGAUAUUCUUUCUCUCUUGGAAAGGAAAAGAAGGAAUCUUAGCUGAGUAGUUUGGCGUGGCCUAAAAUAAAAGAAGAACAAAAUUAAUUUGA
Molecule: long non-coding RNA, 933 nt
Organism: Osmia bicornis bicornis
Lineage: Eukaryota; Metazoa; Arthropoda; Insecta; Hymenoptera; Megachilidae
Exons: 2
Source: RefSeq, a predicted model, not a curated record